Molecule: ribosomal RNA, 253 nt
Filed under: uncultured bacterium
Lineage: Bacteria
Description: partial 16S ribosomal RNA
Rfam family: Bacterial small subunit ribosomal RNA
Source: RNAcentral
UACGUAGGGUGCGAGCGUUGUCCGGAAUUAUUGGGCGUAAAGGGCUCGUAGGCGGUCUGUCGCGUCGGGAGUGAAAACUCAGGGCUUAACCCUGAGCCUGCUUCCGAUACGGGCAGACUAGAGGUAUGCAGGGGAGAACGGAAUUCCUGGUGUAGCGGUGGAAUGCGCAGAUAUCAGGAGGAACACCGGUGGCGAAGGCGGUUCUCUGGGCAUUACCUGACGCUGAGGAGCGAAAGCGUGGGGAGCGAACAGG